CAGGCUUGAAGUGUAAUGCUUACUAGUACUUUCCUGCACAGUCUGUACCACAUUGCAAUCCUACCAUCAUUCCCCCAGGGGAGGCAUGGAAACCAUGGCAAGUCUGGGCUGGAUUAGGGAGUGAUGCUACUUUUUUCCCAUGUAUCCAAGAGCAAUAUUGCAAUGGUGCCUUGAAGGUGCUUAGCUAUGUAGAUGGAGAUACCGUUUCCCCUCUUUGUUGGAAAUUGCAUCUGGGUAUGGAAAAUCGUAGAUGGAUAUGGAAAAACUUUCUGUAAGCUUUAAUUGGUAAAGAACUGGAGAGUUUACAGGUACCUUCACAAACAGCCACUGAGGACUGGGAGAGGGCAAAACUGCACAAAAUUCAUUUAUGCUGUGUAGUAGCAGUGUGCUCGCAGUCAGAGGACAUCUGGGAACACAAAUAAGGGAUGCUGGUAAAACGUUUGCACUUCUCAUUAAUAAGAUCCAAAGACUACACUUUUGGUAUAUCAGGAUCGUGUCCUCUGGUCAGUCUCUUGCAGGCAGCAAACUCUUCCACUAAAUUUCACAGCUAUCAGGCAAGGCAUGAGGACAUCUCUCAGACCAAGCCCUUAAAGAGGUUUGUUCAGAGGAACAGCUACCCUCCAGACAUGAGAUGAGCCAUGGUGGGACUUCUGGUCAGCCAGGAAGAUGCUUGAUGUAGAAGGAAACAGA
This 690-nucleotide long non-coding RNA is filed under the name Anas zonorhyncha (Eastern spot-billed duck). Its description in RNAcentral is "lncRNA (ENSAZOG00000008412.1)". Lineage: Eukaryota; Metazoa; Chordata; Aves; Anseriformes; Anatidae. The record is from RNAcentral.